Molecule: ribosomal RNA, 642 nt
Filed under: uncultured bacterium
Lineage: Bacteria
Description: bacterial SSU rRNA
Rfam family: Bacterial small subunit ribosomal RNA
Source: RNAcentral
CGCGGCCUAUCAGCUUGUUGGUGGGGUGAUGGCCUACCAAGGCAGUGACGGGUAGCCGGCCUGAGAGGGCGACCGGCCACACUGGGACUGAGACACGGCCCAGACUCCUACGGGAGGCAGCAGUGGGGAAUAUUGCGCAAUGGGCGGAAGCCUGACGCAGCGACGCCGCGUGAGGGAUGACGGUCUUCGGAUUGUAAACCUCUUUCACCCACGACGAAGCGAAAGUGACGGUAGUGGGAGAAGAAGCACCGGCCAACUACGUGCCAGCAGCCGCGGUAAUACGUAGGGUGCAAGCGUUGUCCGGAAUUAUUGGGCGUAAAGAGCUCGUAGGCGGCUUGUCACGUCGACUGUGAAAACCCGGGGCUCAACUCCGGGCCUGCAGUCGAUACGGGCUGGCUUGAGUGCGGUAGGGGAGACUGGGAUUCCUGGUGUAGCGGUGAAAUGCGCAGAUAUCAGGAGGAACACCGGUGGCGAAGGCGGGUCUCUGGGCCGUAACUGACGCUGAGGAGCGAAAGCGUGGGGAGCGAACAGGAUUAGAUACCCUGGUAGUCCACGCCGUAAACGUUGGGCGCUAGGUGUGGGGACCUAUCCACGGUCUCCGUGCCGCAGCUAACGCAUUAAGCGCCCCGCCUGGGGAGUACG